Molecule: non-coding RNA, 26 nt
Filed under: Rattus norvegicus (Norway rat)
Lineage: Eukaryota; Metazoa; Chordata; Mammalia; Rodentia; Muridae
Source: RNAcentral
UAGACUGGCUCGUUAGGAACCCGUGC